RNAcentral lists this ribosomal RNA (591 nucleotides) under uncultured Burkholderiales bacterium. Its description in RNAcentral is "bacterial SSU rRNA". It matches the Rfam family "Bacterial small subunit ribosomal RNA", at positions 909 to 1503 of the family's 1533-position model. The record is from RNAcentral. Lineage: Bacteria; Pseudomonadati; Pseudomonadota; Betaproteobacteria; Burkholderiales.
AUUGACAGGGACCCGCACAAGCGGUGGAUGAUGUGGAUUAAUUCGAUGCUACGCGAAAAACCUUACCUACCCUUGACAUGUCACUAACGAAGUAGAGAUACAUUAGGUGCCCGUAAGGGAAAGUGAACACAGGUGCUGCAUGGCUGUCGUCAGCUCGUGUCGUGAGAUGUUGGGUUAAGUCCCGCAACGAGCGCAACCCUUGUCUUUAGUUGCUACGCAAGAGCACUGUAAAGAGACUGCCGGUGACAAACCGGAGGAAGGUGGGGAUGACGUCAAGUCCUCAUGGCCCUUAUGGGUAGGGCUUCACACGUCAUACAAUGGUGCAUACAGAGGGUUGCCAACCCGCGAGGGGGAGCUAAUCUCAGAAAAUGCAUCGUAGUCCGGAUCGUAGUCUGCAACUGGACUACGUGAAGCUGGAAUCGCUAGUAAUCGCGGAUCAGAAUGUCGCGGUGAAUACGUUCCCGGGUCUUGUACACACCGCCCGUCAUACCAUGGGAGUGGGUUUUGCCAGAAGCCGUUAGCCUAACCGCAAGGAGGGCGACUGCCACGGCAGGGUUCAUGACUGGGGUAAAGUCGUAACAAGGUAACCGU